UCCGAUUUCAUGGGCGUCCUCCAGAUCCUGUGGGAAGCACUCCAUCUCCCUGUCAAGGCAGGAACCCUCUUCCUCUACCUCCUCCUCCUCACCCUCCUCUCCUCCUCUCUCCUCUUCCUCUCCGCCUACUCCAUCUCCCCUCUCGUCCUUGACCUGGUCUCCAAGCUUUCUCCCCUGUUCAGGAACCCCAUCGGCCCGGAGCCCCCUAACCUCUUCCACGAAAUAGAGAAGGACCUCCGUGACAUCGCCAGCCUCACAUCCGGCGUCGCCUUCGUCUU
RNAcentral lists this long non-coding RNA (278 nucleotides) under Musa acuminata (dwarf banana). RNAcentral describes it as "long non-coding RNA (MACU_LNC002384)". Lineage: Eukaryota; Viridiplantae; Streptophyta; Magnoliopsida; Zingiberales; Musaceae. The record is from RNAcentral.